This 483-nucleotide ribosomal RNA is filed under the name uncultured bacterium. RNAcentral's name for it is "bacterial SSU rRNA". It matches the Rfam family "Bacterial small subunit ribosomal RNA", at positions 328 to 803 of the family's 1533-position model. The record is from RNAcentral.
CUACGGAACUCCUACGGGAGGCAGCAGUGGGGAAUUUUGGACAAUGGGGGCAACCCUGAUCCAGCAAUGCCGCGUGAGUGAAGAAGGCCUUCGGGUUGUAAAGCUCUUUUGUCCGGGAAGAAAUCCUUCUGGCUAAUAUCCGGAGGGGAUGACGGUACUGGAAGAAUAAGCACCGGCUAACUACGUGCCAGCAGCCGCGGUAAUACGUAGGGUGCAAGCGUUAAUCGGAAUUACUGGGCGUAAAGCGUGCGCAGGCGGUUGUGUAAGUCAGAUGUGAAAUCCCCGGGCUCGACCUGGGAAUUGCAUUUGAGACUGCACGGCUAGAGUGUGUCAGAGGGGGGUAGAAUUCCACGUGUAGCAGUGAAAUGCGUAGAUAUGUGGAGGAAUACCGAUGGCGAAGGCAGCCCCCUGGGAUAACACUGACGCUCAUGCACGAAAGCGUGGGGAGCAAACAGGAUUAGAAACCCCGGUAGUCCUCUUCGA